Cyanistes caeruleus (blue tit) is the source of this 491-nucleotide non-coding RNA. Lineage: Eukaryota; Metazoa; Chordata; Aves; Passeriformes; Paridae. The record is from RefSeq and is a predicted model, not a curated record.
AAUGGAAGGAGGAGGGGGGUAAGGGCAGCCCCAAAUAUUUCAGAUAGACCUAAAUCUCUUUAUAUAGGAAAUGAAAGUCUCUCCUGAUUUAUGAACCUGAUGGAUGAGAUCAAGCAGAGGAGAAACAGUUAAAUUUAGCAAACACUGCAAGUUGCUCCUUUAGCUACAGCAGUGAAGGCCUCAUCUACACAUGAAGUUAAUUAGUUUAAACUGGCAGAGGAAAAGCCUUGCCAUCAGGCUUACAAAGGCAUUUUUUAGACAGCAAUUAUUGAAUUAUGGAAGGUUGGGCUCACCAGGACCAAACAAUUGGGAAAAGGACCUCAAAUAAGAAGGUGAAAAGGGUAUAGUACAUUACAUGAUAGAAGAUGUUAAUAUUAGAAGUGGAACAGAUGGCUCAGAUUGAGAUUGGGAGCACAACUACAACUGAAAGAUGAAGAAAGAGAUUCAAAGAAGAACAAACAAGAGCAGAAAAUUCAAUUAAAAUGUCCAAU